Molecule: ribosomal RNA, 285 nt
Filed under: uncultured Streptococcaceae bacterium
Lineage: Bacteria; Bacillati; Bacillota; Bacilli; Lactobacillales; Streptococcaceae
Description: partial 16S ribosomal RNA
Rfam family: Bacterial small subunit ribosomal RNA
Source: RNAcentral
UACGUAGGUCCCGAGCGUUGUCCGGAUUUAUUGGGCGUAAAGCGAGCGCAGGCGGUUAGAUAAGUCUGAAGUUAAAGGCUGUGGCUUAACCAUAGUACGCUUUGGAAACUGUUUAACUUGAGUGCAAGAGGGGAGAGUGGAAUUCCAUGUGUAGCGGUGAAAUGCGUAGAUAUAUGGAGGAACACCGGUGGCGAAAGCGGCUCUCUGGCUUGUAACUGACGCUGAGGCUCGAAAGCGUGGGGAGCAAACAGGAUUAGAUACCCUGGUAGUCAAGGGCGAAUUCGC